Malurus melanocephalus (red-backed fairy wren) is the source of this 165-nucleotide long non-coding RNA. RefSeq lists it as uncharacterized. The transcript has 3 exons. The record is from RefSeq and is a predicted model, not a curated record. NCBI's taxonomy places the organism in Eukaryota, Metazoa, Chordata, Aves, Passeriformes, Maluridae.
GGCGGCCUACAGGAACAUCAAAAACGCCAUCAAACCCGUGCUCGUCCACCUGGACAAUCACUCUCUGUGGGAGCCCAAGGUUUUCGCCACGGGAUGUUUCCGGAUCAUCAUGUACUCCAUCCAGCCCCAGCACUCCCACCUGGUGAUCCAGCAGCUCCUGGGACA